AGAUCUGCCAGCGACAGUGGCUGCUAUUAAGAAUCCCAGUUCAAAAAUUGUAUAUGAUGAUAGCAACCAUGAGCGUUAUCCACCUGGUGACCCCAGCAAACGUGCAUUUGCUUACUUUGUUUUGACAGGAGGCAGGUUUGUCUAUGCCUCAUUGGUUCGCCUCCUGAUUCUUAAGUUUGUUCUGAGCAUGUCUGCCAGUAAAGAUGUCCUUGCACUUGCUUCUCUUGAGGUGGAUCUUUCCAGCAUUGAACCUGGGACAACUGUUACUGUCAAGUGGCGUGGGAAGCCUGUUUUCAUCAGACGCCGCACUGAGGAGGACAUCAAUUUGGCGAACAGUGUUGAUCUUGGCUCCCUUCGCGACCCACAACAAGAUGCUGAGAGGGUCAAAAAUCCAGAAUGGCUUGUAGUCAUCGGGGUAUGUACUCAUUUAGGGUGCAUACCUUUACCAAAUGCUGGUGAUUUUGGUGGUUGGUUUUGCCCAUGCCAUGGCUCCCACUAUGACAUCUCUGGUAGGAUUCGCAAAGGACCUGCACCAUAUAAUCUGGAGGUGCCUACCUA
Molecule: long non-coding RNA, 558 nt
Filed under: Nicotiana tabacum (common tobacco)
Lineage: Eukaryota; Viridiplantae; Streptophyta; Magnoliopsida; Solanales; Solanaceae
Description: long non-coding RNA (NTAB_LNC014589)
Source: RNAcentral